Molecule: ribosomal RNA, 399 nt
Filed under: uncultured bacterium
Lineage: Bacteria
Description: bacterial SSU rRNA
Rfam family: Bacterial small subunit ribosomal RNA
Source: RNAcentral
GAACGCUCGUAGCAAUACAGGAGUGGCAGACGGGUGAGUAACACGUGGGAACGUGCCCUUCGGUUCGGAAUAACCCAGGGAAACUUGGGCUAAUACCGAAUACGUCCGCAAGGAGAAAGAUUUAUCGCCGAGGGAUCGGCCCGCGUCCGAUUAGCUAGUUGGUGGGGUAACGGCUCACCAAGGCGACGAUCGGUAGCUGGUCUGAGAGGAUGAUCAGCCACACUGGGACUGAGACACGGCCCAGACUCCUACGGGAGGCAGCAGUGGGGAAUAUUGGACAAUGGGCGCAAGCCUGAUCCAGCCAUGCCGCGUGAGUGAUGAAGGCCCUAGGGUUGUAAAGCUCUUUCGGCGGGGAAGAUAAUGACGGUACCCGCAGAAGAAGCCCCGGCUAACUUCGUG